GCUCUAGUGGCGCAAUUGGUUAGCGCGUUCGACUGUUAAUCGAAAGGAUGGUGGUUCGAGUCCACCCUAGAGCG
Transfer RNA from Allomyces macrogynus ATCC 38327, 74 nucleotides. It matches the Rfam family "tRNA". Rfam says of the family: Transfer RNA (tRNA) molecules are approximately 80 nucleotides in length. NCBI's taxonomy places the organism in Eukaryota, Fungi, Blastocladiomycota, Blastocladiomycetes, Blastocladiales, Blastocladiaceae. The record is from Rfam.